UCGGAUGUGGUGCACGGUGCACGCCCAUCUAUAAUAGUUGAGAAGAUUUCAAUUUGUUGUGGGAGCUCUGGGUUCGACUCCCAGCGUCCGAA
Non-coding RNA from Mycena leptocephala, 92 nucleotides. The record is from the annotation of a GenBank genome assembly. Lineage: Eukaryota; Fungi; Basidiomycota; Agaricomycetes; Agaricales; Mycenaceae.